This is a long non-coding RNA of Polypterus senegalus (gray bichir), 1159 nucleotides long. RefSeq lists it as uncharacterized. The transcript has 3 exons. Lineage: Eukaryota; Metazoa; Chordata; Cladistia; Polypteriformes; Polypteridae. The record is from RefSeq and is a predicted model, not a curated record.
CAUCAUGAAUGCAAGAAGACAGAUAAGCUAGAUUUCAACAUACUGAUCCACUUUAUUCUGAAGAGCAGGAACAGCAGGAGACUGUCUGGAAACAGGAGGGAAAAGCUCAUCACAGACUGGCAUCACAAGCGAUGCAGAACUACAGCUGUUCAGAAAAAAGAGCUGCUGCAAAAUGAGUGCUACAGUUUACUUACACAUCAAUAAGACUAUUGAUAAGGAUAACGGAUGACUGUAAACUGAUGCCUGGUGUUUUUUCGAUGUACCCUGAAAUGGAGUGCUGUCCUGCCAUGGGAUGUUUCUUGCCUUCCUCCCACAUCCAUGGUCCUGUUAUGGAGACCGAGUGAAGACCGUACCUCCUAAUAGCACCACCUCUGAUCCACCCACUGAUGACAUCACUUCUGGCAAUCUCUAAUGGCAUCCUAUUCACUCCAGAACCCACCUCUACAGACAUCACUUCUUUUUCCUCCCUGACUCCAUCUCUUCCUGCUUCUGCAAUAUAUAAACUAGAGAACUUCCUUGUUAGCCAGUUCCAUUUUGAAAUCUGUUUGUAAACAUGUGUGUUUUGUUUUGCUGCCUGAUUUUCGGCAUAUAGGGUGGCCAUUCCCAAACCUUUUUCUGCCUCCGACUAAUUUUCUAUCACAACCUAAUGCUACUAAGAUAUUUUUUGUCUUGCAAUGGAUAAAAUUGGUUAAACAAUAGAAAUUGGCAAUUCAAGAAUGAUUUGUUCACUUUGAAAGACUGUUUUCAGGAUAUGAUAUGAACUGAUUCGUGAACAUAAUAGAUCGAUUCAGUAAAGCUUAAAGGGAUUGCUAAAGCACAUUCAUGUUAUGCACAAUGUCAUUAGCAUCUUUCAUUUUGCUGAUGCUAGUAGAUGUUUAAAGCACAUAUACAAGAUCCAUCUGAAUCAUGAGUCUCAACUCAUUUGAUUCAUUAACUAGUCACUACCUGACUCCCAGUCUAAUGAUUCUCAUUCAUUAGAUCUGUAAAAGUGUCAUUACCCGAGAGUCAGUCUAAUGAUUUUUGUUCAUUUGGUUCACGAACAAAUCACUGCCCAAGAAUCAGUCUAACGUUCUUGUUCAUUUGAUUUGUAAAAGAAUCAUUAUAAGUUGCACAAUUCUUAUGAUUCUGUAAUGAAAUACGAGGGGAAAUUAAGCUAAAG